UUAUGAAUAGAUGAAUAUUCUUGCACACGUCGGGUUCUGUCUUGAAUUAAAUUGUGUAAUCGCAGAUACGAACAGUUUGAACGGUAAAAUGUUCAUAGUUUCUUUAUAACAUAGGGAAAUAUAUUAAAACAGUUCAUCGCUAAUGUAAAGACAUAAUUUGUAAUGUUUUAAAGGUAACUCACGCUGUGGUUAGCCACGAAUUGUUCUUUUGGACAACGUGUCCGCUGAAUGUUCUUUGCAGUUGUGCACACGACUCGCUGAGCAGUUUACGUCAUUAGAAGAGAGGGGAAAGUAACGCGGAUUCCUACACUGUCCUGUAUAAAACUCCUAAAACUGGCGCACAUAAAGCGAUGUACGCAAUGAAACGUUAACAAUAUAAAAUGAUGAUCAAAUGAAGAAUAAAUGAUGAAUGAGUUCAGAACACUCCCCGUCUGAGGUCUAUCUGACAUCACUAUUCCAUUAUCGAAAACAAAUAAAAUGUUAAAUAUAUAACAACAGUACAAAUAUUCACUUAG
Molecule: long non-coding RNA, 515 nt
Filed under: Mytilus galloprovincialis (Mediterranean mussel)
Lineage: Eukaryota; Metazoa; Mollusca; Bivalvia; Mytilida; Mytilidae
Source: RNAcentral